This is a long non-coding RNA of Aphidius gifuensis, 997 nucleotides long. RefSeq lists it as uncharacterized. Lineage: Eukaryota; Metazoa; Arthropoda; Insecta; Hymenoptera; Braconidae. The record is from RefSeq and is a predicted model, not a curated record. The transcript has 4 exons.
CAAACUUAUCCAUGGGAAAGACAUUAGUCCUUAUAAUAUGGAAAUAAAAUAUACAAAAGCUUCAAUGAUAAAGAAAAAAAAGCUACUGCACUAUUUGAAACACUUGAAACAACUGAGGCUCCUUGUCUGUUAAAAUACAAUAUAAAAAAUACAAAGUUAAUAAUGACUUUUAUGAUGAGUAUAUGAUAAGCAAGAAGUAUGGCUAAAAUAUUUGAUGUGUUGAUGCAAUUAAUCAACUAACAUUUUCAAAAAUGAGUCUAAACAAAUGACUAAAUUGGUUUGUCAUUGGAGCCGAGAUCAUUUUUAAGUCUAUUGCAUCAUCCAGUUCAUCUAUUGGAAAAGCAUUAGUCUUGCUAAUGUAUUUGAAAUAAAAUAUAGCUAUGACAAGCUUCAAUGAUGCAGAUAGUGAAAAGAGAGUUACUGCACUAUUUUAAGUACAUUGCAUUAUCAAGUUUAUUCAUGACAAAAGCAAUAAUGGAGAUAAUAAAAAAACACUAACGUAGAAAAAGAUCCACUGCACUAUUUAAAAUAAUCGAGACAACUGAAACUGUUUUAGUGCUAAAAUAUAACAUGAAAAAUACCAAGUGAAUGAAGUUAAUGUUAAAAGUGUCAUAUAAUCCGUCGUUGGCUUUAGUUUGUGUUACCAAGUGUUUUAAAAAUUGAAUUACAUUGUUUAUAAACUAAAUGAUAAUUCAACGAUCAUGAAAUACUGGCACACUUGAAUCACCCAACAAAAUGCAUCAAGACUAUCUACAUGAUAUUAUGCUUCAACAAAAAUAAAUCCUUGAUAAUGAAAAAUCAUUGCUUAACUAUUGACAUUUUGCAUGUGCAAUUACACUAAAAAAAUGUCUAGUUUAAAUGAAAUCCAAGUGUUAUAAAGUACUUUGACACUAGUUGGUCUUACCAAGUGUUUUAAAAAUUAAGUAAAUUAUUUAUAAACUAUUUGAUAAUUCAACGAUUAUGUAAGACUUACUUGAACUAUCAAAAAAAUGCAUCA